GUGCCCAUAGCUCAAUUGGUUAGAGCGCCGGUCUGUGGAACCGGAGGUUACGGGUUCAAUUCCCGUUGGGCACCCCG
Molecule: transfer RNA, 77 nt
Filed under: uncultured Thermomicrobiales bacterium
Lineage: Bacteria; Pseudomonadati; Thermomicrobiota; Thermomicrobia; Thermomicrobiales
Description: tRNA-His-GTG
Rfam family: tRNA
About the family: Transfer RNA (tRNA) molecules are approximately 80 nucleotides in length. Their secondary structure includes four short double-helical elements and three loops (D, anti-codon, and T loops).
Source: RNAcentral